GACGAACGCUGGCGGCGUGCUUAACACAUGCAAGUCGAACGGAGUGCCCAUGACAGAGGUUUCGGCCAAUGGAUUGGGUUACUUAGUGGCGGACUGGUGAGUAACGCGUGAGGAACCUGCCUUUCAGAGGGGGACAACAGUUGGAAACGACUGCUAAUACCGCAUGACAUAUAUUAAGGGCAUCUUUGAUAUAUCAAAGAUUUUAUCGCUGAAAGAUGGCCUCGCGUCCGAUUAGAUAGUUGGCGGGGUAACGGCCCACCAAGUCGACGAUCGGUAGCCGGACUGAGAGGUUGACCGGCCACAUUGGGACUGAGAUACGGCCCAGACUCCUACGGGAGGCAGCAGUGGGGAAUAUUGGGCAAUGGACGCAAGUCUGACCCAGCAACGCCGCGUGAAGGAAGAAGGUCUUCGGAUUGUAAACUUCUUUUAUCAGGGACGAAGGAAGUGACGGUACCUGAUGAAUAAGCCACGGCUAACUACGUG
RNAcentral lists this ribosomal RNA (483 nucleotides) under uncultured bacterium. RNAcentral's name for it is "bacterial SSU rRNA". It matches the Rfam family "Bacterial small subunit ribosomal RNA", at positions 28 to 507 of the family's 1533-position model. The record is from RNAcentral.